This 390-nucleotide ribosomal RNA is filed under the name uncultured bacterium. RNAcentral's name for it is "bacterial SSU rRNA". It matches the Rfam family "Bacterial small subunit ribosomal RNA", at positions 28 to 417 of the family's 1533-position model. The record is from RNAcentral.
GACGAACGCUGGCGGCGUGCUUAACACAUGCAAGUCGAGCGGUAAGGCCCUUUCGGGGGUACGACGAGCGGCGAACGGGUGAGUAACACGUGGGUGACCUGCCCUCAGCUCUGGGAUAAGCCUGGGAAACCGGGUCUAAUACUGGAUAUGACUCCAUGACGCAUGUUGUGGGGUGGGAAAGCCUUGUGCGGCUGAGGAUGGGCCCGCGGCCUAUCAGCUUGUUGGUGGGGUGANGGCCUACCAAGGCGACGACGGGUAGCCGGCCUGAGAGGGCGACCGGCCACACUGGGACUGAGACACGGCCCAGACUCCUACGGGAGGCAGCAGUGGGGAAUCUUGCGCAAUGGGCGAAAGCCUGACGCAGCGACGCCGCGUGAGGGAUGACGGCCU